CUGCAGCGAUAAUACUUGUUCCCUUCGGGGUGGUAAUAGUAUUUGUGCUGAAACCUAGCUAUUGUAACUCAGUUUCUCUGGGUAUAGCAAUAUACUCAGGGGGAUUGGGCAUCGACCGCUAGCAGGUGCUCGCAAGGGCGCGGGAAAGUGAGCUAACAAGGUUUUCAUAAGGCCUUUCAGGUUUGCUUUUUCUAGUGGCCAGGCAGAGGUGUUUCUUACCUAUCAGCUCGUUGUUUGUUUAAAGGACAAACAAGGCUUUGACGGGUACGGGGAAUCAGUGUUCGAUUCCGGAGAGGGAGCCUGAGAGAUCGCUACCACAUCUAAGGACGGCAGCAGGCGCGCAAAUUACCCAAUCCCAACACGGGGAGGUAGUGACAAGAUAUAGUGUCUCAUCACCUUCGGUGGUGAGGUAUUAUCAUUUGAUAAUUUUCCAUGAUUUGGGUGUAGAUAACCCUUAGAGCAGCCAUUGGAGGAAAAGUCUGGUGCCAGCACCCGCGGUAAUUCCAGCUCCAAGAGCGUAUAUUAAUACUGCUGUAGUUAAAACGCCCGUAGUAAACCUAAGAGUGUUUACGGGGUAACUAGUUCCAUCAGGAGAUGGUUGGAGGGAGCUUAUAACUCCCUCUUGCCUACUCUUGGUGAACUUUAGCUGGGCAGGACUUCUGGUCCUCGUCUGGCAGUUGCCUCGUAUUCACUCGUCCACGGUUCAUCCGUGAGGCCCCUUUGGGUUGCAACUGUAAAUAAAUCGUUGUGCUUAAAGCGGGCUAUGAUACUCUGCCAGAGCGAUUUAGCAUGGGACUGCAG
Molecule: ribosomal RNA, 801 nt
Filed under: Naegleria sp. NG872
Lineage: Eukaryota; Heterolobosea; Eutetramitea; Acrasida; Naegleriidae
Description: SSU rRNA
Rfam family: Eukaryotic small subunit ribosomal RNA
Source: RNAcentral